CAGCCGUAAUCAGGAGUCCCAUAGGGCGGCGCACAAUUUUCCCAGCGUCAUUAGGGGAGGGUUUGGCCGGGGUAGACAAUAAUUGUAAAUAAGAAUUUGUUCCUAACUUACUUGCCUAGUUAAAUUAAAUAACAAUGCGCAAUAAUUGUCGGGAGAAAGUUUAGUGGAUUCUGGAGAGAGACGCGCCUAUAAACUAUCUUUCGCCUCACAUCUUCUUGUCUCAACAUUUUAAAUUAGACUCGAGACACAUUAUCUUCACACAUAUUUCAGAUGCUUUUCACUAACAGCAGCAACUCAAUAAUCAGCUAGGUCUGGUGUGUGUGCUCGCGCACGUUAGGCUACGUUAUAUGAGCUAACUUGUAGCUUGUUAGUCGCGCAUCUCGCCCCGUUACAGUGGGACGUUUUCUGACCAAGAGAAGAGUGCGGGUAGAAAUUUAAAAUAAGAGAAGAGUGCGGGUAGAAAUUGAAAAUCCAUUUUAAAAAAUCCAGUCUCCGAGGGGGCCAAAGAAGAAGAGGGAGAUAAGAAAAAUGAGUCGGAGAGAGAAACUCGUGAGCCACGACGUGAGGGAGCACCAGAGCAGUUCGUCGCUGCUAGCUGCUCCACAGCCAUCGUUAGCUGCACUGUUAGCACAGCCACCCUCUGAUUUAAACCAGUCACCUGUUGAAGAACCAAGGCGCCCUCUUCUUCGGCGUUUUCCAGCCACAAAAGUUGGACAGCAGGAUCGCUACUCCAAUCGUAGAUGGUAUGAGGAUUACAAAUGGCUGAAAUAUUAUAUUUCAAAGGACCAUGCUUUCUGCUUUGCAUGCCGCCACUUUCAACGUCCAGGAAACCAUGGUGGAAAGAAAGCGACAUUUGCCCACGAUGGCUACCAGAACUGGAAGAAGGCGACACGUUCGUUCAAGACACACAAUGCUAGCGUGGAACAUACAUAUGCAAUGACAGCGUGGAAUGUGAGUGGACGAUUCAGAAAGAGUCUGGCUCAACAAUAUGCAAUGCUCUAAGUGAUGAACAUUCGAAAAUAGUCCGAGACAACAGAGAGUAUAUGAGAGCAGUUGUGGAGUCAUUGCGUUUCACUGCAUACCAGGGACUUUCACAGAGAGGAGACAUAGAAAACGACAUGGCUGUCAACCCAGGGAAACUUCCUUGAACUUUUACAGGUCAUAGGAAAAUUCGACAAAACAGUUGCACAGAAAAUAUCAGAUAAUCCUAGAAAUGUUAAGUACACGCAUCAUGAUAUACAGAAUGAAAUACUAGUCAUGGCAAAUAAGAUUAGGGAUCAGAUAAGUGGUGAAAUACAAGAUGCUAAACUAUUUGCAUUGAUGGUAGAUGAGAGUAAGGACCUCAGGAAUUUCUUUCAUUUCACUCCAACUGAUGGAUUAGAUGCCGAGUCGCUUUUCGCUACGAUCAAAGAGACUCUUAGUAAAUGUAACACUGAUCACACUGCAUGACGGCGCCGUCCCUCGGGCAAUCUACAUUCAUUGCCACGCACACCGUCUCAAUCUUGUUUUGGUGGACUGUGUCAGAAACGUGAAGCCAGCGGGGGAUUUUGUUGUCACACAUAUCUGUCACACUGUCAGUAACCUCCGCGUCAUGUGAGCGCAGUUUUUCCUGCAUGCGGCGUGUAAAAACCUACCUGAGAAACAGAAUGGCAAACCCUCGACUCAGCAACCUUGCCUGCCUGUCCAUACACGCAGAAAGAACCAAAGCCCAGGAUGUCCAGAAAAUGAUAGGCUCAUUUGCACUGAACCACAACAACAGACGCAUCGUCUUUCUAAAAAAACAACACUUGAGCGCACCUGUCCGGUGGCGGGAACAUGAUUCAAUCGCGCUGAUCUGGAUGGAACAAGAAGACGCAUGCAUAUUGUCGGCCAGUCGGCCUACAAGUAUUUUUGCAAUAGAAAUAUAAUAACUAAGAUUGUGAUUAUAGCCAGUUCGUUUUACAAGUGUGUGCACAGUUAACAGGCAUAGGCUAAAUGCAUUUCACUUGUCGUUGUGGCUGCACUUUGGAUAUUAUUAAUUUCAUUUCUGACGUUGUGAUAGCCAUUUCAUCCGAAACAUUAUUACCAAUGCACAGUUGUCUGAUUAUGCAUAUGGAAUAAAUGCACUUCUUGUUGUUGUCGCAUUUUGGAUGUAUUGUAUUGUUAUUGCUGAUAGACUUCAGUGCAUGGGCGCUGUCCGAUGCUGAAGUAUAUCACCUUUGCACGUGAAAGGCGUUUGUGUCAUUGCCUUGUGGUCACUUGUAUUAGGCUAAUAGCUAUUUUGUUGAAUAUUCUUUGGCCAAAUUCAAUUAACGACAUUUAUAUCGAAUGUGCUGUGUGCCAUAUCUGCUUUUAUUGAAAAACGAGAACUUCCUUAUAACUCUGAAGUCAUGAAAAUCAACUAUUUUCUUAGCACCCCCACGUAUUGGUCAAGCCCCCCCUUAGCCCCGGGAGAGAAGAUAUCCUGGAUCAGAUACAUCAGUCCUGUUAUUAAAGUUGGAGGAAGGAGUACCAUAGAAGUGUCUCACCAGUAUUGAAAGACAGAAGAUAACAAAUAAUGCUUGUUUUUUUUCUGUCACAUGCUCUGCCUGUCUGCUUGCUAAGUCUUAAUUGUCAUAUGUUUCCUUGUCCUGUUGUACUCUGCUGCUCUGGCUGUGCUCAUUGUCUGUUUGCAUUUUAAUAGUUUCAUUGAUAACCUGUUAAGGGACUGCAGUUGAAAAUUAGCUGGCUGGCUAAAACUGGCACUUUUACAGUAAUGUUGAUUAAUGUGCACUGUUCCUGUAAAACUAAAUGUAAUAAAGUUUAAAAAAAACUUUGAGUGAACCAGCAUUUCCAGCUCAUGACAGAGUUUACUGUAUUCAGCCAGCAAUAGUAGAAAAUCAAGUCCUUCAAUGAAUCAACAGCAGUCCAGGCACUAGUGUCUUACAGUUUAUGGUGAGGAAUGAAACACCAACU
RNAcentral lists this long non-coding RNA (2934 nucleotides) under Salmo salar (Atlantic salmon). RNAcentral describes it as "lncRNA (ENSSSAG00000104109.1)". Lineage: Eukaryota; Metazoa; Chordata; Actinopteri; Salmoniformes; Salmonidae. The record is from RNAcentral.